UUCUGGGAGCCACUUUUGAAAAUCCUGACAAAGCGCUGCUGCACUUGGCCUUGUCACACAGCUCGGGGAGCCAGCUCACUGGGCCUUAGGCCAGCCUGGGCAGGUGCAUUCCUUAGCAGAAGAGAAGUCCUGAAAGGAGGAGUUUUGAGACCAAACCUUACUGAUGAAUUCUCUAUAUAUGGAUCAUGAUACACAGCUAGAAAUCACCAGGCAGAGAUGCUCCCAGUAUCAACUCUGUGACAGCCUUACUGAGAAGAGUUUUUAAAUCAGCUGAAUCCCGAAGAUGCUGUUCUUUCAAGGAUCCCACUUGAUUCUCAAGCUCUUUCCUAGUCAUCUGCAGGAUGCUGAGAUCACUGGAUAUUGAUUAUAGUUCCAUGUGCUAUACGGCCGGACCUUGUUGUUUAUCCAUCCUAAAUAUAAUGGCUUGCAUCUGCUAAUCCCAAACUCCCAGUCCUUCUCUCCUCAACCCCACCUCCUCCAUGGCAACCACAAGUCUGCUCUCCAUGUCUAGCAAUUUUCUUACUGAGAUCAAGAACCUACACUGCUGGGGCUUCCCUGGUGGCGAAGUGGUUAAGAAUCCACCUGACAAUGCAGGGGACACAGGUUCGAGCCCUGGCCUGGGAAGAUCCCACAUGCCGCAGAACAACUAAGCCUGUGCGCCACAACUACCGAGCCUGCACUCUAGAGCCCAUGAGCCACAACUACUGAAGCCGGCGUACCCUAGAGCCCAUGCUCCGCAACAAGAGAAGCCACCACAAUGAGAAGCCCGCGCACCACAACGAAGAGUAGUCCCCGCUCGCCACAACUAGAGAGAAAAGCCCGUGUGCAGCAAAGAAGACCCAAUGCAGCCAAUAAAUAAAUAAAUAAAUAAAAUUAUUUUUUAAAAAAGGAAGAUAAAUGAAAGCCUUAUUGAGCUAAAUAAAUACUCAUUUUAUUUAGAUGUGCAAG
Mesoplodon densirostris (Blainville's beaked whale) is the source of this 948-nucleotide long non-coding RNA. RefSeq lists it as uncharacterized. NCBI's taxonomy places the organism in Eukaryota, Metazoa, Chordata, Mammalia, Artiodactyla, Ziphiidae. The transcript is spliced from 5 exons. The record is from RefSeq and is a predicted model, not a curated record.